CUGCCUUUGUUCCACUUGUGUCUGAACGUUGGAGGAGAAACAGCAGGCUCCAGUUUUUAUUAACCUCUUAUUUUCAUAAACAGAAAACUCAUGUGCACUGAACUUUUUCCUCACUUGAGGUCUUUCAACUGACUUUCAGAAAAUGCUCUCAUGGCAUGCCUGGUGGACCUGGGACUUGCUGCUACUGCUCUUUGGCUUGUCAAUCCAUGCUGGUUCAGCAGCUCAGAUCAUAGAAGGGAAGCUGCUGCAAGUCAAGGGCUUAAAUUGCCAUUCAUUCUGGAAAAGGAAAAAUAAAUACGUUGGUUCCCCAGCUGUAAGGGGAACGUUACAUGCCUGCUCUCUCAAUAUUUCUUCAG
This is a long non-coding RNA of Grus americana (Whooping crane), 356 nucleotides long. RefSeq lists it as uncharacterized. The record is from RefSeq and is a predicted model, not a curated record. Lineage: Eukaryota; Metazoa; Chordata; Aves; Gruiformes; Gruidae. The transcript is spliced from 3 exons.